This 65-nucleotide transfer RNA is filed under the name Dipodomys ordii (Ord's kangaroo rat). It matches the Rfam family "tRNA". Rfam says of the family: Transfer RNA (tRNA) molecules are approximately 80 nucleotides in length. Their secondary structure includes four short double-helical elements and three loops (D, anti-codon, and T loops). The record is from Rfam by way of RNAcentral. Lineage: Eukaryota; Metazoa; Chordata; Mammalia; Rodentia; Heteromyidae.
GGUGAUUCAGUGGUAGAAUGCUUGCCUUGCAUGCAUGAGGCCCUGGGUUCGAUUCCUCAGCACCA